RNAcentral lists this long non-coding RNA (392 nucleotides) under Bos taurus (domestic cattle). RNAcentral describes it as "long non-coding RNA NONBTAT014962". Lineage: Eukaryota; Metazoa; Chordata; Mammalia; Artiodactyla; Bovidae. The record is from RNAcentral.
UGGCACCUGCGACAAGGGUGAUUUACCAACAUCAUGUAUUUACUCUGCAUUAGACAGAUGGAGAAAAAACAAAGGUGAGACACCAAGCUCUCCAAACGGAAAACAUAUUAGUUUAUUUUCAAUCAUUCACAGCUAAUUGAGUUACAUUCCUUAGGUUAAUGGUCCUCAUGGGUUUAAUCCCUAAAGAUCAAAACCCAUUAAGGAAUGAAGCUGUAUUUAAAUAGAGGCAUUGUUAACAGGAGGAAGGCCAUGUGUCAAAGUGUUUCAAGGCAUAAGAAACCAGCAUGGAAUAAUCCAGACUGACUACCAAACAUCAUAAAACUAUAGUAACCCACACUCAGGUAAUUCUACAUGCCUGCUAAUAAUCAUUAUUGUAAAAUAGAAUGUCUUAU